This 535-nucleotide ribosomal RNA is filed under the name uncultured eukaryote. Its description in RNAcentral is "partial 18S ribosomal RNA". It matches the Rfam family "Eukaryotic small subunit ribosomal RNA", at positions 454 to 877 of the family's 1831-position model. The record is from RNAcentral.
AUUUUCCGAAAUAGUGACAAAAAAUAUCAAUGCUGGGGUACUAUGUAUCUAGUAAUUGGAAUGAGUACAAUUUAAAUCCCUUAACAAGUAACAAUUAGAGGGCAAGUCUGGUGCCAGCAGCCGCGGUAAUUCCAGCUCUAAUAGCGUAUAUUAAUAUUGUUGCAGUUAAAAAGCUCGUAGUUGAAAUUUGGAACUUUAUUAUAUUGGUUUAUCUUUUGAUGAACUGUAUGAUGGGUUUCUUCCUACUAGAGUUCGAUUCUGUUCUUAAUUGAAUGGAGUAGCUAUCUUUCGGGGUAGUCAGUUGGUUAUUUAUGUCUCCACUAAUGAGCAGAGAGGGGUAAAACCUUCAAAGUGAGUUUUGUGGGUCAAGAUAUAGUGAUUAAUUGGAGUUUCUAGUUCGUUUACUUUGUAGAAAAUUAGAGUGUUUAAAGCAGCCUCUUGGGGCACUGAAUACAUUAGCAUGGGAUAAUAAAAUAGGAUCUUCACAAUAUAUUUUAUUGGUUUAAAUUGGAUAUGAAGAUAAUGAUUAAUAGGG